UCAUCGAGUGGCCUGACCUGAG
Molecule: non-coding RNA, 22 nt
Filed under: Arabidopsis thaliana (thale cress)
Lineage: Eukaryota; Viridiplantae; Streptophyta; Magnoliopsida; Brassicales; Brassicaceae
Source: RNAcentral